Vicugna pacos (alpaca) is the source of this 2492-nucleotide non-coding RNA. NCBI's taxonomy places the organism in Eukaryota, Metazoa, Chordata, Mammalia, Artiodactyla, Camelidae. The record is from RefSeq and is a predicted model, not a curated record.
GUGUGCAAAGCAGAUGAAAUCACGCACUUGAAAUGCUAAGCACAGAGUGUCAUUUAGGGCUCGACUCACGUUGCCUGCUUCCAUUAACUCCAAGGGAUUUAGAUGUAAUCCAUGAAAAGAGGCUCAGAAGGGAAAGUGAUCCCAAUGCAGCAGAGACUGGGUUCUGCUUUGGAUGUGUUGGGUAGUUUGUGGUACAAAAGAGUCUCCAGCUGGAAAGGCCAGAAGAGCUCUGGACACACGGAAGGUCAUCAACUUGGAAGAAGACAAGAGACAGAACAAGAGAAUGGCAUUGGGGAGGCAAAGAGGACGAUGUUGGAAGAGCACAGGUAUGUUCUCUUCGUGGGGGAAGAGUAUCAUCAUAAUGCAGAGCAUUUUCCUGAAGAGUAAUAGAUUAUAGGGAGAAGACAUAAUGGUCCUUCUUUGAAAACUCCAAUAUGAUUCACUGAGACGCUGAACUUGAGAAAUGAAGAUGGAAGUGAAGUAAGACCUCUCUGCUGCUGCUUCCACUGUACACAGCUUCUGCUUAUUUCUGGCCAGUGGAGUGAGAAGGCAGGGAACACAGAUCACUCCCUCAACACGUGCAAGGAAAAGCCAAGUGCAGCAGCUGUUACCAACUGCAGGCAUUGGCUCCCUGAUAGCAGAGCUCCCAGCAAGACUCCUGGGUCUGAAGCCAGGCAAGUACUUGGAGUCCUAGCCUGCAAGGAAAGCCCUUCUCCCCUCCUGUUUCUCUGCCCUGAAUCUACUGAAGACCAAUGCCAGAAGCAGCAGCCUUCAGGAGUUGAAGACCCACCAUUCCAGAAGACUGAAAUGACUGACGGUGGCAGAGUAGCCUCUGCCAGUAUUUAGCUCUCCAGUAACCGAUGGGGAGCAGCUGGAUAAAACCUGCUUUUCCAAACUGUAGCCUCUCUAAGCAGAGCACUGACAAUAAAGGGAGAAAAAGUUAAACAUCAGAAAAGACAAAGGAAUGGAUACAAGUUUCCUCAUAUUUUAAGGAAACACCUUGUUCUUUGGAGAUACAUUUUUGGAAAAAAAUUAGUAUGUUUUGGAUUCAAAUUAUCCCCCUGCAUAAGAAGAUAUUCUGUAGCUUCUGGAGUGAAAAUCACAAAAGGAACAAAAACAAACAGAAAUGAGAUUAUUUAAAAGUAGCACAUGUUAACUUUGGACUAUUAAGUAACUUAAUGUGUUAAACUAGGUUCUCCUGCACUUCCUUGUACAGUCCUGAGAAAUAUAUAAUAACGUCCUGAAAGGUAAAUACAAAGUAAUAUGUCAGAUGAUAAUCACAUCGCAGAUUUAUGACUACUGGUUAUAAUUUUGGAAAACAGUGGAGUAAGUGGAGAACACUUACUCAGUGCAUCACGGGGUUCAAGGAGCCACCUCCAUACACUGCUAGCUUUUUGGCUUUGGGGAAUGACUACACAAAUCAUUUAAAGAGCAGCUAAUCAACAAUUUAAGGACAAAUGUACACAUAGUAGUUAGCAGUUUCUAUGUUCUGGGUCAAAUGAGUCAUAUGAAAGUGAUAAAUUCCAGCCUGCAGCUGUUAUGCUAAUGAAGUCACCAGUGAGUCAAGUUCUAUCUAAAUAUAUGCACAUGCAUUUCUAUUGCCAUUACAUUUACCCCCAGUUGACAUCAAUUAUCUCAAGAGUUAAAGGGCAUCUCUUCACACCCCUAAAAAAUAAAAAAAAAAAUUACCCAGAAUAAAUUAUGCGUUCAGCAAAUCCCCAGAUAGAUUCAAUAUACCCCAGGAUAGCAUUCAGAUUUCAGUCCUUUCAAUGGGCAGCUUCUGGACCCUGACUCGAGGUGCUCUGUCCUCACAACAGAGAAAACUGUGCAGUAGUGUUAGUGCGGGCUUUUGCUCUCACGAUCUUGGUGAUCAGCAUUGAAAGGAAGAGAGAUUUUUGUCUCAACCUUUGUUCAGGGUUGUAUCCACAGACGUAAGGCAAACACAACUGUUUUUCUUUAGUAUUUUUUUUUCAAAACCAUAAUAUGAGGUCGUCACAAUGAUAUUUUCUUUCGCUUUUGCGUGGAGAUCACAAUUCAGGAUGAAAAAUACAGAACCUAGCAAAUUCUCAGUUAUUUUAGUUUACCCUAGGAAAAACCCUGAAGACAACCAUAGCCACAGAAGGCAGGAAUUGAGAUUCCACUUUGCAGGCAUCUGGGGUUCAAGUAACUACAAAACAUAAAGUAGCCAGAGCAAUAAACUGGGUCAGAGUGUCAGGUCUGGCAAGGAGGAGUGGCCUGACCCACUUGUGUCAUUUGGCGCUUGGGGCCUCUAUUGACUGACCUGGAAUCUGAGAAGCUUAGGGAAGGUCAUUUCAAAAAUGUUCUUAGUUCUAAUAUCCUAUAUUUGGGUAAAGAGAAUGUUAAGCAAUAUUAUAACUUGCAAAAGUAGCAUCAAUUGCCCCCUCCAAAAAUCACAACCUUUACAAUUAAUUUCCCCUCUCCCAGUAACUCACCUUUAAAAAUAGAAAGGCUGUACAUUUGAAAAAAAAAAA